Molecule: ribosomal RNA, 444 nt
Filed under: uncultured bacterium
Lineage: Bacteria
Description: bacterial SSU rRNA
Rfam family: Bacterial small subunit ribosomal RNA
Source: RNAcentral
ACUCCUACGGGAGGCAGCAGUGGGGAAUUUUGGACAAUGGGGGAAACCCUGAUCCAGCCAUUCCGCGUGAGUGAAGAAGGCCUUCGGGUUGUAAAGCUCUUUCAGCUGGAACGAAACGGUACGCUCUAACAUAGCGUGCUAAUGACGGUACCGGCAGAAGAAGCACCGGCUAACUACGUGCCAGCAGCCGCGGUAAUACGUAGGGUGCGAGCGUUAAUCGGAAUUACUGGGCGUAAAGCGUGCGCAGGCGGAUUAUUAAGCAAGACGUGAAAGCCCCGGGCUUAACCUGGGAAUGGCGUUUUGAACUGGUAGUCUAGAGUGUGUCAGAGGGGGGUGGAAUUCCACGUGUAGCAGUGAAAUGCGUAGAUAUGUGGAGGAACACCAAUGGCGAAGGCAGCCCCCUGGGAUAACACUGACGCUCAUGUACGAAAGCGUGGGUAGCAA